GACGAACGCUGGCGGCGUGCUUAACACAUGCAAGUCGAACGGUAAGGCCCCAGCUUGCUGGGGUACACGAGUGGCGAACGGGUGAGUAACACGUGGGUGACCUGCCCCGCACUUCGGGAUAAGCCUGGGAAACUGGGUCUAAUACCGGAUAGGACCGCACCGUGAGGGUGUGGUGGAAAGUUUUUCGGUGUGGGAUGGGCCCGCGGCCUAUCAGCUUGUUGGUGUGGUAAUGGCCUACCAAGGCGGCGACGGGUAGCCGGCCUGAGAGGGUGGACGGCCACAUUGGGACUGAGACACGGCCCAGACUCCUACGGGAGGCAGCAGUGGGGAAUAUUGCACAAUGGGCGGAAGCCUGAUGCAGCGACGCCGCGUGGGGGAUGACGGCCUUCGGGUUGUAAACCUCUUUCAGUAGGGAAGAAGCGAAAGUGACGGUACCUGCAGAAGAAGCACCGGCUAACUACGUG
RNAcentral lists this ribosomal RNA (464 nucleotides) under uncultured bacterium. RNAcentral describes it as "partial 16S ribosomal RNA". It matches the Rfam family "Bacterial small subunit ribosomal RNA", at positions 28 to 507 of the family's 1533-position model. The record is from RNAcentral.